Molecule: ribosomal RNA, 433 nt
Filed under: uncultured bacterium
Lineage: Bacteria
Description: partial 16S ribosomal RNA
Rfam family: Bacterial small subunit ribosomal RNA
Source: RNAcentral
AGCGAACGCUGGCGGCAGGCCUAACACAUGCAAGUCGAACGAACUCUUCGGAGUUAGUGGCGGACGGGUGAGUAACACGUGGGAACGUGCCCUUUGGUUCGGCAUAACUCAGGGAAACUUGUGCUAAUACCGAAUGUGCCCUUCGGGGGAAAGAUUUAUCGCCAUUAGAGCGGCCCGCGUCUGAUUAGCUAGUUGGUGAGGUAACGGCUCACCAAGGCGACGAUCAGUAACUGGUCUGAGAGGAUGACCAGCCACACUGGGACUGAGACACGGCCCAGACUCCUACGGGAGGGAGCAGUGGGGAAUCUUGCGCAAUGGGCGAAAGCAUGACGCAGCCAGGCCGCGUGAAUGAUGAAGGUCUUAGGAUUGUAAAAUUCUUUCACCGGGGACGAUAAUGACGGUACCCGGAGAAGAAGCCCCGGCUAACUUCGUG